This 525-nucleotide ribosomal RNA is filed under the name Triticum aestivum (bread wheat). RNAcentral's name for it is "partial small subunit ribosomal RNA". The record is from RNAcentral. Lineage: Eukaryota; Viridiplantae; Streptophyta; Magnoliopsida; Poales; Poaceae.
AUGUUACAACAUGGAAAAGAGAAGAAUAUAUUAAGAGCAGUCGUCAAACGGAUGGAUUUUAGAACAAAAUUAGCGGUCAUUUUAGUCGACUUGGAAUUCAAUGAUGACGAUAUAAGAAACCGAGACAUGGAUGAUGAUGAAACCAACACGAAUCCCAACGAUUGUAUGAUUGUUGAAAGACCUCCUAACAAACCGAGAGCAUCCAACUCAUCGUCACAAGUUGAGCUCAUGUCGCAAUCAUUUAUCCUUUCGCCGUUUGUCACUCCAACAAACGACGACUUAAUAGAUGAACUUUGCUUGUUCAUCAUCAUGGUUGAUGAUAUCCCGUUGCUAGAGAGCGAAUGGGUGAAAAGCUCUCAACCUUAUCCUAUUAGUUUAAACCUGAGACAAUUAAAGAACAUAUUAAAAAAUGAUGAGUACGUGGAUGCCGAUUGUUUUAACAUGGCUGUGAGGAUACUAGCAUGCCACGACGUCCAGCUUGCUAGAGAUGUGCCAGUGCACUAUAUGGAUCUACAGUUCUGUGUA